GAUGAACGCUGGCGGCGUGCUUAACACAUGCAAGUCGAACGAUGAAGCCCAGCUUGCUGGGUGGAUUAGUGGCUAACGGGUGAGUAACACGUUAGUAACCUGCCCUUAACUCUGGGAUAAGCCUGGGAAACUGGGUCUAAUACCGGAUAGGAGCGUCCACCGCAUGGUGGGUGUUGGAAAGAUUUAUCGGUUUUGGAUGGACUCGCGGCAUAUCAGCUUGUUGGUGAGGUGAUGGCUCACCAAGGCGACGACGGGUAGCCGGCCUGAGAGGGUGACAGGCAACACUGAAACUGAGAAAAGGCCGAGACUCCUAAGGGAGGAAGAAGUGGGGAAUAAUGAACAGUGGACGCAAGACUAAUGCAGAGACACCGCGUGAAGGAUGACGGCCUUCGGGUUGUAAACCUCUUUCAGGAGGGAAGAAGAAAAAGUGAAGGAACCUGCAGAAGAAGAACCGGCUAACUACGUG
Molecule: ribosomal RNA, 466 nt
Filed under: uncultured bacterium
Lineage: Bacteria
Description: partial 16S ribosomal RNA
Rfam family: Bacterial small subunit ribosomal RNA
Source: RNAcentral